AACCAUAGAAACCUGCGGAGUACCUGCGGAAGGAUCAUUAUCGAGUUGCAAAACUCCAACCCUUUGUGAACAUACCUCAGUCGUUGCUUCGGCGGUGGACGGCCUUUUUUCGAAAAGGCCCGAAGCCGCCGGAGGUUCCAAACUCGUGUUUUGUUUAGUGUAUCUCUGAGCCUGAAAACAAAUAAUCAAAACUUUUAGCAAUGGAUCU
Molecule: unclassified non-coding RNA, 208 nt
Filed under: soil metagenome
Description: partial contains 5.8S ribosomal RNA, internal transcribed spacer 2, and large subunit ribosomal RNA
Source: RNAcentral